Molecule: ribosomal RNA, 440 nt
Filed under: uncultured bacterium
Lineage: Bacteria
Description: partial 16S ribosomal RNA
Rfam family: Bacterial small subunit ribosomal RNA
Source: RNAcentral
CCUACGGGUGGCAGCAGUGGGGAAUAUUGCACAAUGGCGGAAACCCUGAUGCAGCGACGCCGCGUGAGUGAAGAAGUAAUUCGUUAUGUAAAGCUCUAUCAGCAGGGAAGAAAAGGACGGUACCUGAGUAAGAUGCCCCGGCUAACUACGGGCCAGCAGCCGUGGUAAUACGUAGGGGGCAAGCGUUAUCCGGAUUUACUGGGUGUAAAGGGAGCGUAGAGGGCAGUGGAAGUCUGGAGGGAAAGGCGGGGGCUCAAACCCCGGACUGCGCUGGAAACUGUACGGCUGGAGUGCAGGAGAGGUAAGUGGAAUGCGUGGUGUAGCGGUGAAAUGCGUAGAUAUUAGGCGGAACACCAGUGGCGAAGGCGGCUUACUGGCCUGUAACUGACGUUGAGGCUCGAAAGUGUGGGGAGCAAACAGGAUUAGAUACCCCGGUAGUC